GAUGAACGCUGGCGGCGUGCUUAACACAUGCAAGUCGAACGAAGCACUUUAUUUGAUUUCCUUCGGGACUGAUUAUUUUGUGACUGAGUGGCGGACGGGUGAGUAACGCGUGGGUAACCUGCCUUGUACAGGGGGAUAACAGUUGGAAACGGCUGCUAAUACCGCAUAAGCGCACGGCAUCGCAUGAUGCAGUGUGAAAAUCUCCGGUGGUAUAAGAUGGACCCGCGUUGGAUUAGCUAGUUGGUGAGGUAACGGCCCACCAAGGCGACGAUCCAUAGCCGACCUGAGAGGGUGACCGGCCACAUUGGGACUGAGACACGGCCCAAACUCCUACGGGAGGCAGCAGUGGGGAAUAUUGCACAAUGGGCGAAAGCCUGAUGCAGCGACGCCGCGUGAGCGAAGAAGUAUUUCGGUAUGUAAAGCUCUAUCAGCAGGGAAGAUAAUGACGGUACCUGACUAAGAGGCACCGGCUAAAUACGUG
Molecule: ribosomal RNA, 481 nt
Filed under: uncultured bacterium
Lineage: Bacteria
Description: partial 16S ribosomal RNA
Rfam family: Bacterial small subunit ribosomal RNA
Source: RNAcentral